CACCCCCCAACACACCUCUGUGAUAAAAGGACAGCAAUGUUGUCCUGUCUUUGGAUGAAUAUUUCCCCGUCUGGUAUAUGAUAUCUAUGUACCUAACGUUAGGUCUACGUAUGUUUCAUCAAUGUCCUGUUAUCUUUAUGUACCUAACGUUAGGUCUGUAUGUAAAAGAUAUGUAGUUUUGUAAUCUCUUUGUACCUAACGUUAGGUCUACGUAUGUUCCUAAAGUAUUGUCCUAUCAUUUAUUUCUCCAUCUGUUAUCUCUAUGUACCUAACUUUAGAUCUACGUAAUAUGUCCCCCUUAUAUUGUCCUGUUAUCUCUAUGUGCCGAACGUUAGGUCUGUAUGUUCCCGUAAUGUCUUUCUGUUAUCUCUAUGUACCUGACGUUAGGUCUACAUAUGUUUCAUCAAUGCUGUCCUGUUAUUGUUAUCUCUAUGUACCUAACGUUAGGUGUACAUAUGUUUCAGCAGUGUUCCCCUCCCCCUCCUCUACCGUUGCUUCAGUGUAUAAAGGAACGAAUGUGAGGCAGCGUCGUCAAAUCAGGCACUCGUCAAAAUAACGAAAUCGAAUAAAUCAGCGUUUUUCCGCA
Long non-coding RNA from Aplysia californica (California sea hare), 586 nucleotides. RefSeq lists it as uncharacterized. The record is from RefSeq and is a predicted model, not a curated record. The transcript has 2 exons. Lineage: Eukaryota; Metazoa; Mollusca; Gastropoda; Aplysiida; Aplysiidae.